RNAcentral lists this unclassified non-coding RNA (274 nucleotides) under uncultured Sordariomycetes. RNAcentral describes it as "sequence contains ITS1". The stretch from base 1 to 105 matches the Rfam family "5.8S ribosomal RNA", at positions 50 to 154 of the family's 154-position model. The record is from RNAcentral. Lineage: Eukaryota; Fungi; Ascomycota; Sordariomycetes.
GAAAUGCGAAAAGUAAUGUGAAUUGCAGAAUUCAGUGAAUCAUCGAAUCUUUGAACGCACAUUGCGCCUCUUGGUAUUCCUUGAGGCAUGUCUGUUCGAGCGCCGUUUAACGCCUAAAGCUUUGCUUUGUGUUGAACCUUUUGAAGUGAUUUCAAAAGUUCCAAAUGCGUUUGCCUGGUCAAAAGCGAAAAGCAAUCAACUGCAGACCGUGUAUGACGAUGGCAUAAAACGACCGCAUGGCCUCGAAUCAGAUAAGGCUACCCGCUGAACUUAA